GAAAUGCGAUAAGUAAUGUGAAUUGCAGAAUUCAGUGAAUCAUCGAAUCUUUGAACGCACAUUGCGCCCUUUGGUAUUCCGGAGGGCAUGCCUGUUCGAGCGUCAUUUCAACCCUCAAGCCUGGCUUGGUAUUGGACGUCCUCUCAACCGGAGGUGUCUGGAAAUCAGUGGCGGCAUAUCCAAACCUUUGAGCGCAGUAAAUAUUUCGUUCUGCAGGGGGAGGCGACUGUCUGUCAACAAAUCCAAUCUCUAUGGUUGACCUCGGAUCAGGUAGGAUUACCCGCUGAACUUAA
Molecule: unclassified non-coding RNA, 293 nt
Filed under: uncultured fungus
Lineage: Eukaryota; Fungi
Description: sequence contains ITS1
Rfam family: 5.8S ribosomal RNA (bases 1-105)
Source: RNAcentral